This 85-nucleotide transfer RNA is filed under the name Pseudomonas aeruginosa. RNAcentral describes it as "tRNA-Leu". It matches the Rfam family "tRNA". Rfam says of the family: Transfer RNA (tRNA) molecules are approximately 80 nucleotides in length. The record is from RNAcentral. RNAcentral also lists the same sequence under 3 other names. Lineage: Bacteria; Pseudomonadati; Pseudomonadota; Gammaproteobacteria; Pseudomonadales; Pseudomonadaceae.
GCGGGCGUGGUGGAAUUGGUAGACACACUGGAUUUAGGUUCCAGCGCCGCAAGGCGUGAGAGUUCGAGUCUCUCCGUCCGCACCA